Molecule: long non-coding RNA, 7029 nt
Organism: Xiphophorus hellerii (green swordtail)
Lineage: Eukaryota; Metazoa; Chordata; Actinopteri; Cyprinodontiformes; Poeciliidae
Exons: 2
Source: RefSeq, a predicted model, not a curated record
UAAAAGUUGUGGUAUUUUUUAUUAUUAUUUCAAACAGAAACAGUUUGAUUACAUUACUUAAGAACAGUGCACUUUGGAGUUUACUGAGUUACAUUACAGCUUAUGAAAAUCAAAAAAUGAAGAGCUAUUUCAUAUUGCAUACAACUUAAGAACAUAGACCCAAACUAAUACAGUUGCAUGUACAAGUGCAAACAAGUGCCUGUUUGUAUUUGUUUACAAUGCAUGGCAAAAAAAAAAAAAAUCCAUGACAAAAAAAACAAACAGCAGGGUUGUUAGUCAUCCUACUCAACCAUUUCAAACACUUACAGAUACCAUACCUGCGGAUGCAGUUCCUAUAACUUGGCGAUAACGAAACACUUACGGAAAUCAACAUUCCAUCUAGUAUUUACACACCAUCAAUACAAUUUUCAUCCCAUCAAUUAGAAUUUUUAAUAUCCCGGUUGACAUUAAUGGAGAUUAAUGGUCUCUUUCCAUGGUGAAUUCCAAUGUCAUCUAUUAUCAUUCCAGCCUUGGUCCCAGUCCGCUCUAAUUACAUCCUCAAAAUUCACUCUCCUUCGCAACCCCCAGCGUCCUAAGUACAAUCAAUAAUUUUAAUUUUCGGAAGCCACCCAAACCUCCGCUGGUUUCUACAUUAGUCCUACUCUUUUGCUCCUUUCCUCUUUCUCCGUUGAUCAGUUCCCAAAUGAAACCAAAUGCAGCAGAAUAAAGCCUGAUGGAGGGAGAAUUAAUUGUCCAUCUCGUCAACAGCUCCAGUUGAUUCCUUCGUUUGUUUGUCCGUUUGUCGACUCGCUCGUUUCCCUCGUUUCUCUCUCGUGUCUGCUGUGUCGUUCCUCUCUCGUCCUCUCUCUGUCUGGCGCUUGGGGGGCGCUUUCCUCUCUUUUCCCCCUUCUUGCAAUGUAAUUAGCAUGCAGAUAUGCAUCGCCUUAUUCGCAAGUCAAAUCGCCUUGGCAUUUUUUUCCCCCCUCUCUGGAUCUCUGAUCCAGUCGAGAGCUGUGAUUGUUCUUAUUCAGCUUGUUUGAUCUGGUAGGCAAGCGCCCAUAUCCUCUCUCAGCCUAGUCAAACCCAAACCCAUACAAAUAGAAAAACAGAAAAAUUCAAUAUUUCUCUUCCUAUCUGCUUAUGUCAGCGGUUUGCACAGCUUUCCCUGACUGACUGCUUUUCGUCUUCAGAUGCAAAAUACAUGAAACAUGAAAAUUUAAAUACACUUAUAAUCUGUCCUUUUCGAAACACCUGCAUGCUCUACAACAUUUCCGAGCCUCUAUUUCUGAGGCUCCUUUUUAUUCUGCCACCACAGCUGACUUCACAUAAUGCAUGUUUGCCUUUGGAUGCCUCUUACGUUGUUGGAUGGGAUAUAUUCACAUGGAGAAGAAAUGCAAACCAAAGUGUGUUUUGUUACCCUCAAUUCCUCUCUCAAAUACACUGAGCAGGUCUGCUGGUGCAGGAAGGUGAUUGCUCAGCACAUUUCAAUAUGAACACCGUCUUCCUUUAUCUAGUUGCCAUUUGUUUCCCUGUCAUAAAGUAUCCCCAGCCAGCAUUUUCUUUUUUUCAGUGCCAGUGAAAGGAAAAUGGCUCAAACUGAAAUGCAGUUGUCAGAAACAGAAACUGAGUUAUCAAAUCUAUAUUUAAAGACACUUAAAGAAGGAGAGGAGAAGUUUGUUAAAUGUGUGACCACAACUUUAUCUUUCAGCCUUGUUUUUACGCAGGCUUUCAUGGAUACAAGAAUGUCAAAGAGUGCAUAUAGAUACUUUUAAACAUUAUUUCCUGAGCACUUCCCAAUGGAAACAGUGAAACAGUAAUUGUGAUUUAUUUAUUUUUUUUAAAUAACGGUCAUUCCAGGGAUGUAAUUACAGUACAUGAAUGUAAACAUCAAAGUGCCAGAGCAGAUUAUAGAGGAGUGUUUCUUUGCAUAGUCAUGGUAUUGUUGGCACUUGACCAGUCUUUCAGUGUGUACCCUCACCCCACCCCAACCACUACUUUUUCUAUCUUUUCUCCCACUCCUCAAAGCUAAUCUGCGCUAUAUUUGCCAUCAAUGCAUGCCUGCCAUUCACAUGGCAUAUCAGAAGCAGGCGCCAGGCACCCUUUACCCCUCUCUCUGCUCCUCCUCCUCUCAGUAAGCGUCAGAUUUUGCGCCUACUUGCCACAGAGUUCUCUGAAGGGUCCAGGUGGCAUGAUGCCCAUGCUCCUUUUGCAAUCAGGGCAUAAGACAAAGAAACCCAGCAAAUGCAACAAAAAACAUUUAAAAAAUAAAAAAAAUCAUCAAAAAUCAAGAUGCAUGUCUCAGAUCCAGCUUGGAGAUUCCGGUGUGUUCCAUAUCCACCGGCUAGGUGUUGUUGUUCCAUCUCUCUCCUUCUUCUGGAUAGUUUUGAGAUCAAAGGCUAAGGUGUAAACCCUCCUCCAACCUUGAAACUUCCUCAGCUUGUGGGCUAAUCACAGAACGCCGUUAUGUGUCUUAAGCCCAUACAGUCUCACACGCGCACACACACGCCAACAGAAAUGCACAUGAAUGCUGCAGAGUUUUAUUUCUCCCAGAGCUCCCUGCCAUCUCGUCUGCCCGCUGCCUCGGAGGAACUGGGAAUACAAUGGGAUCUAGCAGGGUAUUCCUCACACUUACAUACGCUGGAUUUAAUUUGCACGUGCACUCUGCAGUUGUUUGAGGCUUGAGGAAAGUGAAUAAUCAAUUGAGUAUUGAUUUCUUGUACAAUUUUGUAAAUUUCAAAGGCAAAGACAAAGAGGGGUAGCUUAAGGAGAGUCGCUACGAGCAAGAGGAGCCGCAAAUUAGCCAGUAAACACAGACAGCGGAAUAAACGAAGGCAAAUGAAUGAAUGAACGAAUCGCUCGUCACUGAGAUAUGCCUCUGUCUUUUUCUCAUUUUCUUCAUUGUUUUUAUUCCCUCCUUCAGAGGAAGUAACAUGUGGAACAAUGGCUUUCUAUGGAGACGAAGAGAUGGCGAAUGGGCAAAUAAGGGUUAAAAGGAAAAGCUGCAGGAGGAGAUAUAGUGACAGGAGGACAUGGUAAUUAGGGAGUCUGCUACACACACCUCAUCAUUAUGGGGAGUAUGCAAAUUAACCGGCUGCCUCUUUCUCUUUGUCAUGGAUCAGAAGGCAAGAGAUGCAGGGAAGAAUUAAGAGCUAUUAUUCUACCAAAGGAGCGGCGGGCAUAUGUAGACGAGACCGAAGAGGAAGAGAGGGAGGAAGACUUUUUAGCCACUGAGAUAUGCAUUGGAGUUCACCACGAUGGAUAAUGAAAUAAAAUAUCAAAACUAGACUAUCCCCGAUACCGUAGGAGACGCGAACAGGAAACGACGAACGAGAAAACGGCAAUCAGACAUGCACCUUGAUUCCCCAUUAUGCCCAUCUUCGUAUAUUGACGGGAUGCUCCCUGGAUGAUAAUUACCUUUUGGAAUAUUGAAUUGCUAAAUGAGCCUAGGAACGAAGGAACAAGAAAGAACAAAAACAAGAGAGGAGCGGAGGUAUGCAAAAGGCGCUAAUGAUAUUCAGAGCGCUGUGUGUCAUCUGCAUGAUGACAACGGCCAAUUAUAAAGAACGAUUUGCUCUCUGGCACAGAUAAGUAGCAGAAAAAGGGAAUAUGGUUGAAGAGGAGGGGUAAGCGAAUGAACUUCCUUGUCGCUUUCUGCUUAAGUUCCCAUUAAUAUCUGCUUAUUUUGCUCAUUGUGGAUUUACAGUAGAAGUAUGAACAAUGGCAGAAAUUACGCAAGUUGGAAAAAAAACAAAUAACAACAAAAAAAAAAACGGACGACCUUUUCUUGCAUUGGUCCUUAAGAGAAAUAAAGGCCAUCAAAGAUGAGAGUAUCCAUCCAGGGAAGAUGUAUGGCUUCUUGGAGUGGUAUUCCAUUGCCACGUCGCUCAGCUUGGCUUUUGUUCUGAUGAUGCCCGCUCCUGCACCAACCAUCGCCCUGAUUAGCAAAAGAUCACGUUGGAAAACAAGGAAACGCAAACGCGGUGCCAUCUUCCACAAAGCCGCCUUCUCCCUUUCCUCAUCACACUACAGAAUGCCUCCCCAUAACCGUUUUGCAUAUUCGCAUGCCGCCCCGCCUGCCACAAAGGACUAAACAGUGUUAUGCAAAACAGUCUGGUAUCCUCACUUACAUAGCGAUGAGAUGCACAGUGUGAGAAAGUGGGGAGAGGGAGUGGAGGGGGCAGGUUUGAAGGAGGUAAAACACGACGGGGGGGCCUCGACGACAAGAAGACACUGUGAGGUGGGGGGAUUGGGCCACAGGGGAGCUUGUUGGCACUAAAAAGGGGCACGUGUGCUGAUACCACUCCUACUGCGUGAUGACAGAAAGAGGCAGGCGUGGGAAAAACAGAGGAAGGGAUGGGAGGGGGGAAAAGAGGAGGAUAAGGGCAUGUUGGCACUAAGAGGGGGCACGUGUUGCUGGAGGAGGAGGAGCGACAUGGGUGGGCGAGGUGCAGUGGGAGGCGUGAGGAAAUGAGAGGUUAGAUGGGGACACAGCAGGGGUUGGGCACUAAACAUGGACUGAGAUGAGGAGUUUGCCGAUUUAGGGGCACCAGCAUUAAAGAAGAAUUUUUGUACCAUUAAAAUUCAAGGCACACGCAUCUCUUAUCAGAUACCAGCAAGACAUGCCAGGGUGGUUUGGCUACCACACCUGCAUUAAAUCAUGGUAACUUUAACACAAAAUCCACAGCGCUACAUGGGUCUAAUCUCUGUCUGUGCAGCCAUUUUUGCAUACUGUUUAGUAUACACAAUAAUGAAAAAGUUCUUUAUUGAAACCUGUAGCAUGAACCAGAUGAUGUGCAGCAAACAUUUACACACUGUUGCUAAGGAAAAGCCCCACCUUUAUAUCUGUAUCACUUUAAAGAAAUUGCUUAUCAAAAUCUAGAUGCUUUUCUUUUUCUUUUUCAUGAAUAGUUAGUGUUUUUAAAAUGUAUUUACUUAAAAGCUGAAUUUUGUGUUAUUAAAGGUUAAUUCUAUAAAACAUGCAUACAUCUUGCAUAAAUCUUCUUAUGUUCUUGUCAUUGUAUUAUUGUUUACUGUUCAACUGUAAAACUAAAAUAUUAAAAUGAAACAUGGUCUUCAUAUGGAAGUAUAAUUUAAUGUAAGCACACAGCUUUGCUCUAUUAAAGUUUGAUGUGGACAUAUCAAUUGUUCUCUUUUUGCCAUAUAGAACAAUUGAUACUUUGUUCUUUAGGCCAGGGUGUAAACUCUAGCACUCAAGAGCAUGACUGUUGCAUUUAGCUCUUACAUGUGUUCAUGGUUCAACACCAAUCGACUCAAAUGGCUGCAUUGCAUCCUCGCCAUGCUAUCCAGUUUUACAGAGUUCUGACAAUUACCUAAUUGAUUCAAGUUUGUUGAUGCAAAGGCAUAUUUUUAAGUUGCAGGACAGCAGACAUUAAGGGCUGUAGUUGGACUUGUGCUCUACACUAUGUCAAAUUAGUUGAGAAUAUAUGUAAAACCAUAAAUGCGGAGGAGGGACCAUUUUCUUCAAGUCAGCAGUCUCAUUUUGAAGUGAUCUGAUCUGCAUCAAAUAGUAUUUUUUUUGUCUUUGUCUAGUUUCAGAUUAUUCAUUUAAUUUUUCUCUGAAAAGCACAGGGCCUUUCAUGAAGCUUUUGACAAUGAAUCCAGCUCAAAAGAAUGAAAUAAAAACCAAAUAAUUUUCCAUGUUUUCCAAAAAAUGUUUUAAUACUAUGUUAUUAGUUUAGAAUAUUAUUCAUCCAUGUACUGCAUCUGUUAUAGUUGUGCAAUUCUAUGGUAGUUAAAACUGAAAAAAAAAAAAAAACCUGGGUUAGAAAACUGACAAGACAUUUGAAAGUACUCCUUUUCUGUUCUCACACAAACAACAUUCAAGUUUUGCCCCCCUCAAAUUCAAAUGAGCUUUUUUUGGUGUAUAAUCAGCCGUUCCACUCUUUACCACUCUAAAUAUUGAAUAUUUUGAACUAAAGAUUCAAUAUUCAAUAGCAAAAUGCAGUCAAGAAUAAAAAUAAAGAAUCUGUAAAAUAACCCUUUAAUUUUGCCUCAACCUUUAGCAUUGCUAGGUUUGCAGGUUCCAGCGUUCUAACAGGACUUGUAAAUCAUUCGUAGCUUUGUUGUCACUCUGACACUCAAGCCACAAGUAGGUUGACUUGUCUAGAGUAGACGGUCUCAGUAUUGUCUAGGCUCAGGUUGGGCUGAAUCUUGACCUUGGUGACAACAGUGCAAAAUGGGUUUGACUUCAGUGAGGAGUUCAAGUUCGUUGUCUUAAGAAUCAUCCAGUGGCAAAACUAAUUUGAUUAAUUUCACAUUCUGUUCUAAUUCACGAGCAAUAGUAGUUUCACAUGUCCUACUUCAGAUGCAAGCCUAUAGCUUUUAGCCUUGCUAAGUGAAUCAUCUGUGGCGCUAUCGAAUUACCCUCAACAGAGACCAAAGGUUACUCAAAGGCCUUUUAGUCAUCCACGCCAGUAUGCUAGCUAAUUUACAGCAGACUCAUUAGACCAGCAUUAAACACAAUUUCCUGUCGACAAAUUUCAUUUGCCAGAAAAAUCAUUACCAUGGCAAUAAUAAACAAGCUUCUAUAGUAGUGGCUAAUGGCAAUUUGAGUAACCUAAUGUGGUUAGAAACCACUCGAAAUAGCAACGGUGACUUGAAAGACUCUGAUCAAAGUUAAGUUUAAGAUAGAUGUUGACAAGAUGUGUAUUACUUUAACUUUGGAGUUUUUAUUUCUUUCUCCUUUCUUUAUGUUUUGCUUCUUAAGCUUUGUCUUGGGCCUGGACACUGACAGUGGAAAUAUAAUGUUUCAUAACUGUCAGUGCACAGGGUUGUGUGUAGCCUGGGGUUACUGUGCUGAACAAUAAACCAUAAUUUGAUAGAUGAGAAAUUACAGCGGUCCAUCUACUGUGCAGGGCCUUCACCCCGGGCAACGCAAUACAGCUUUAGAUGAUGUGUCACACUUCUCCGACAAAAGGAGAAAAAUGAAAUUAUGCUCUUAUACUUUGUUAACAAUGUCUUCCAUUGUUUUGAAUGUAACGACCUUGUUUGUUUUAUGUAAAUAUUCUAAUAUAAAUGGGAGGCCUCUCA